CAAGAAAUUAAACAUUGUUAU
RNAcentral lists this microRNA (21 nucleotides) under Ananas comosus (pineapple). RNAcentral describes it as "microRNA s0164_c068". The record is from RNAcentral. Lineage: Eukaryota; Viridiplantae; Streptophyta; Magnoliopsida; Poales; Bromeliaceae.